AAAUAAGGGCGUAUGGCGGAUGCCUUGGCUCUCAGAGGCGAUGAAGGACGUGAUAAGCUGCGAUAAGCUGCGGGGAUUAGCACAUAUGAAUUGAUCCGCAGAUUUCCGAAUGGGACAACCCAAUAUAUUGAAGAUAUAUUAUUCGAAAGAAGGCUAACCCGGAGAACUGAAACAUCUAAGUACCCGGAGGAAGAGAAAACAAUAGUGAUUCCGCAAGUAGUGGCGAGCGAACGCGGAACAGCCCAAACCAUAGCAGUUAAGGCUACUAUGGGGUUGUAGGACUGCAACAUGGACUUAUACAAUGAACAUGAACUGGGUGGGAAACCAGACCAAAGAGGGUGAGAGUCCCGUAACGGAAAGUUGUAUAUACCUAGCAGUAUCCUGAGUAGGACGGGACCGGAGAAAUCCCGUUUGAAUCCACCGGCACCAUCCGGUAAGGCUAAAUACUCCUGAGAGACCGAUAGUGAACAAGUACCGUGAGGGAAAGGUGAAAAGUACCCUGAAUAAGGGGGUGAAAUAGUACCUGAAACCAUACGCUUACAAACGGUCGGAGCAGCUUUGUGCUGUAACGGCGUGCCUUUUGCAUAAUGAGCCUACGAGUUAGUGUUGUUGGCAAGGUUAAUACUUUAAGAGUUGAAGCCGAAGCGAAAGCGAGUCUUAACAGGGCGAUCAGUCAGCAGUACUAGACGCGAAACUUGGUGAUCUACCCAUGACCAGGGUGAAGUGUGAGUAACAUCACAUGGAGGCCCGAACCAGUUGACGUUGAAAAGUCUUUGGAUGAGUUGUGGGUAGGGGUGAAAGGCCAAUCAAA
Molecule: ribosomal RNA, 811 nt
Filed under: Fragilariopsis kerguelensis
Lineage: Eukaryota; Bacillariophyta; Bacillariophyceae; Bacillariales; Bacillariaceae
Description: partial Bacterial large subunit ribosomal RNA
Rfam family: Bacterial large subunit ribosomal RNA
Source: RNAcentral